UGCAGUAUUUUUUUUAUUUCUCUCAGUCUUUUCAAGAUACAUUUUACCAGUGAUGCCAUUGUGCAGCAUGCUAUUGAGGCUGCACCUGUAUUAUUUUUUUAGCAGUCUCUUCCUAUUCCAAAAAGUCAAUUCCAGCUGACAGAGGUGCAGAAAAGGGCUCUGACAAAGAGCAGGAAGAAAUUAUUGCUCUUGAAAGAUGUUCUCUUGAAAGCACCACUGAGGUCGUUUAAGAAAUGACUGCCACCACAUUUCCGGCCUUCUUGGAUGAUACAGCUCUUUCAGCAGAGCAAGUGGAAAGGAUAGUGUCAUUACCUACCUUUACACAAGUCAUCCUUUUAACUUAAAUUCCCAGAUUAUUUUUCUGGGAAAAUUAUGUCCUACCACCAACAUCCUCAGUUAAAUCAGUAUAUUAACUACUAUGCUUAUUUCUCUGAGAAGCCUUCUCCUGGGUCAUCUGAACCAAACCCGUGGCAUCUGAUCUUUACUACUCCAAUCCAGAUACGUGCAACUGUGCUGGGGUGAGGUAAGGGUUCAUUGUCUGAAUUGCAUGAUUUUAACGAGGGUACCCCCGUGGGCCAUGUACAUAGGCACUUUUUAGAGACCCCUUUGUAGGAGGUCAAUAACUAAUCGAUCCCAAUUCGGGGGUAGAAACUGGAAUCUUUACUGAAUACGCACUUUGCAAUAUAAGGGUCUUGGGGGCAGGACAUGUUAACAAAGAGGAUGGGUUAUGCUAAUUAGGGGAUGGAUUAUGCUAACUAGAGGAUUACACAAUUUUCUGCUACAGUUACAGAAGUGGUUAAUAUUUUCCCUUAGCUAGGACCACAUGAGGGUAAGAGAACAAAGGGGUUUCUACAUGGUCUGAUAACAUCAUCACAAAGUCUUUCCAUAUCUUGCUAAAAGAGACAGGACAAUCAACAUAGCUAAACAUUAAUAGGUCUUGUGAUGAAGUGUCCAGUCCUCAGGUAAUGGGAUUUCUCUCAGCCCCUAUUGCCCAAGGCCUGCUGCUCAACCCCAUCAAACUCCUUCCUGCUGACGGCUGAGUUUUGGUCCUUACACCCCUUAACUCCUUCAAUAAUUCCGUCAUUAAUUCUAUGUAACUGCAUUCCCUCAGUUGUAGGCUUAUACAGGAGCUUUCUAGAUUCCAGUGUGAAUUGAAGUAAACCUGAACUUGUUUUCACCUAUAUUAAACUCCCUGGAGUGCCAAGAAGGAACUCACACUGCAUUUUAUCUUUGCCCAUAUCCUGAGGUACCCUGAACAGAGCCUGCUGACAGCCUUGGCUUACAGCUUUACCCCAUUUACAGAGU
Pseudopipra pipra is the source of this 1305-nucleotide long non-coding RNA. RefSeq lists it as uncharacterized. The record is from RefSeq and is a predicted model, not a curated record. Lineage: Eukaryota; Metazoa; Chordata; Aves; Passeriformes; Pipridae. The transcript has 3 exons.